This 254-nucleotide ribosomal RNA is filed under the name uncultured bacterium. RNAcentral's name for it is "partial 16S ribosomal RNA". It matches the Rfam family "Bacterial small subunit ribosomal RNA", at positions 524 to 776 of the family's 1533-position model. The record is from RNAcentral.
UACGUAGGGUGCGAGCGUUAAUCGGAAUUACUGGGCGUAAAGCGUGCGCAGGCGGCGCGUUAAGACAGGUGUGAAAGCCCCGAGCUUAACUUGGGAAUUGCGCUUGUGACCGGCGUGCUGGAGUGUGGCAGAGGGGGGUGGAAUUCCGCGUGUAGCAGUGAAAUGCGUAGAGAUGCGGAGGAACACCGAUGGCGAAGGCAGCCCCCCUGGGCUAACACUGACGCUCAGGCACGAAAGCGUGGGGAGCAAACAGG